This is a long non-coding RNA of Nicotiana attenuata, 3091 nucleotides long. RefSeq lists it as uncharacterized. The transcript has 2 exons. NCBI's taxonomy places the organism in Eukaryota, Viridiplantae, Streptophyta, Magnoliopsida, Solanales, Solanaceae. The record is from RefSeq and is a predicted model, not a curated record.
CUGUCAUGCUCUGGAAAUAGUUAUGGUCAAGCGCAAUGGAAUUUAGUAUCAGAAAGAAGGUUAGACAUGCCUUAGGAGUUGUAAGCCCAUAUCUGGGUGAGAAGCAUAUAGAUUUUCAAUUUUUAUUUGCAUAGCUAAACACUGGGUAAAUUGAAAAGACCAAAAAAAGAAAAAAGAGAAAAGAAUAACCGAAACAAAAACACAGUAUAGGUUUUCAAGUUACAUCUUGGAUAGAGCUCUAAAUAUCGGGAAACCUGAUUCAAGUCAUAAGACUGAUGACACAUCUUUUCUCUUAGAGCUUCUCAAGUGCUGGGGCUCGAUACAAUUUCCGUCCUUGUCUUUUCACUCAUGUUUGGGUGCUAGACUCUAUACUUUAUUAGAGCCAGAUUUAGUAAACCUACAUUAUCAUUCUGGCUUGUAUCAAACAGAGCAAAGCAAAUGAAUAGAAACCAGUCAGAGAAUUGGAGAGAAGUCUUGGGAAAAAGAAGGAUCAUUUCCCCACUCAUUUCCCGUCCUGGCUACACCUUCUACCUUGCCUUGAAUUAGACAUGUCCAGGCCUCUGAUUUAGUGAUUUUCGUUCAGUUUUCUGACAUCUAGUGUGCAAUUUCCUUCUCUGCUUUAAUCUGAAGCAGAUUACACUCCUCUUCCCCUGUCGUGAGUUUUAGUUGAUCUGAUACUAAUGUCUGUUAGUAGCAAAAGGAUCAGCAGAGGUACUCUUUCAUUGCUAUUUGCUUCAGGUAAAUCAUCAGCCAUUAGCAACAGCAUUUCCCAACCAGACUGAUUGCUGCUAAAUUCUUCAAACUCUGGUCAUCUCUUUGCGCCCUUCUGUGAAAGUUCAGCUGCAAUCUUCUUCUUUUGUCUUUGCACAAAGCCUGAAGCCAAUUCCCACUGUUUGAUGCCAAGAAGCUUACCACAAAACGCUUUUUACCCAUUCAAAGUUAAGUUUCUUAAACGAGCAGAAGAUUCGCCUUCAGCAUGUAGAUCAUUUAUAAUUGAGGUUUUGCUCAAUAUAGUUGGUUAUGGAUUAAGUGAUUUGACAUGAAUGCUUCGGUUAUGAACCAAAUCGAUUUUAAAGAGAUUGAACAGAAAGGCACUGAAACUCAACCGAUAUCUCAGAGUUGCAAUUUAUAUUGGAGGAACUCGGUGGAGUGGACUUAUUUUGAUUUUUGAUGAAAGAUAAUUCACUCACUUUUGACACUUUUUGUUAGCUGAAUACACAUUUAUAAUCCUUUCAGUUACCUUGCCCAUUUUCUCUGUUUCUAUUUCUUCUUGACACUUUUAUAUUUAUGAAAAAGAUGAAUGCCCAUGAGAGCUACGAAUCACAGAAAAAGUAAAUGUGAAGCAUUAAACAAGUGUUUAAAAUCUUACAUGGUGAAUUUUACGAUAUAAGGUAAAAUCAUACCUUUGUGUAGUGUAUGGACUAAAAUUACCAUUUAGUACCAGGAACUGUAUAAAUUUUACUUGAAAGAGCGUUGAAAUCUACGUUAUAUAAAAGAUGGUUACGGGGAAGUGUUAAUUUUGAAGUCCAAGGUAUGAGUUCUCAGGAAAUCUUUGAGAAAGAGAGACACUGACGGAACUCGUCAUAGAACAAGGAAAAAACUCAUGGAUUAAUGGCCAAAAUUGUACAAAUUGGAACUCUUUGUGUUAUUGACAAUUCUAUGCAAGUUAUUCAAUGGAUUUAACCAGUCUAUAAUACCCCUGGGAUUGUAACAGAAACAUCAAUCUUUAGCUAGUCUUUUACUGAGGUUGUGGGUGUCCGGCCUUCAGGAGUUCUACCAUCUCUCUCUGUCACUGUUAAUCACCUACCGAUGCUAGCAUUUCUUGAUUGCACUUCAUGAAUCAACAAAUGUGUCAUUGUUAGAUAAUGAUCUUCACAAACAGUUACAUCCAUCACUAAAGAGGAAAAAGAAAAGGAAAACAAAGAAAAGCUCAAAUAUUUUUUCUCAUCUUCAACAUUAUCCUCCAUUAAAGAUGAAAUUCAAGGUUUCUCUGAAAAGCAAGCAAUUUCCUUAAUAGCCCCCAUAGUCUACGCUUCCUCCCAUGAGAUUGAUUUUGUUUUUUAACCCGCGUGAGAAAGAAAUAGGUUUCAGUUAACCCUCAAUGUAUAACAAAAAUGAGAUUUCCAUGUGCUUUGUUGAUUAUACCACAACUGCUUUUCUUUCUUUCGUGAAUAUGCUGUACGACAAGAAUGCUUAUAUGAAAGCUCUCCUUUAGUUAGAGUUUCCUUGUUAUACUCUUCAUAUUAAGCUCUUUAGUGUAUUUUUCAAGAGAUUUGUGCUAGUAAGCAAAAAGAAGAAAACAAUUGAAACUUGAGAAAAUCUUGAGUCAAAAGAAAAAAAAGAAAAGAAAAUGUCACUUGUUUAAAAUGAUGGAACAACAAUAGACUUCCUUAUGAUAGGAGUAACUAGUGUAGCAGGUUUGUUUAAUGUGCACAUAGAGUCGAACCCCCUUUAGAUGUUUAUGUUCAUGAAACUGCAACGGACUUGGAGGUGAAUAUAUUGUUGACUUGUGAAAUUGGCAUGACAGCUUUGUGCUUCACUGAAUAUAAACAAGAAAAGUGUGGAUAGGGACCUUGAUGUUUAUCGCAAUUUGCUCUCCAAGCUGGUUCAGGCUAAAGAGCUGUUGAAGGAAUAUGUGGAAAGGGAGAAGAAAAAAAGAGGAGAAAGGGAAUCUCAGAAGGCCAAUGAGGCUGUCACAAAAUGCUUGGGAGAUUACCAAUAUGCUGGGAGGUAAGGCAAAGAUCAUUUCGUUCUCCUGCUUGGACCUCAUUGACUUGUUUCCCAAAUGAAACAGUCCAUGUAUGAUAGAGUUCAGUCUCCAAAGCUCAGUCAAGUUAUAUUAGAAAAUGGAAGUUACGUUCAAUGUUUUGUUAUUACAGCAAUUGAGGUAUAUCCCAAUGUUCAUUAUUUUCUGGUUAAACAGAAUAGCUUUAUUGUUGCAACUAUGUCUAUUAUAUUUGUAGAUAAAACCUCGAGUAGUGACAAAAAUCAAGAUUUGCUCAGCAGUCAUGCUUCUCAUUUUCUUUGGUUCUGCUUUUGCUUCAAGUUGUAAACAGUGCUUUACAACUAUCUAUACGUUUUAGUUGGCAAA